Molecule: ribosomal RNA, 875 nt
Filed under: Sphaerellopsis paraphysata
Lineage: Eukaryota; Fungi; Ascomycota; Dothideomycetes; Pleosporales; Leptosphaeriaceae
Description: partial large subunit ribosomal RNA
Rfam family: Eukaryotic large subunit ribosomal RNA
Source: RNAcentral
ACAGGGAUUGCCCUAGUAACGGCGAGUGAAGCGGCAACAGCUCAAAUUUGAAAUCUGGCUCUUUCAGAGUCCGAGUUGUAAUUUGCAGAGGGCGCUUUGGUGUUGGCAGCGGUCCAAGUUCCUUGGAACAGGACGUCACAGAGGGUGAGAAUCCCGUACGUGGUCGCUAGCCUCCGCCGUGUAAAGCCCCUUCGACGAGUCGAGUUGUUUGGGAAUGCAGCUCUAAAUGGGAGGUAAAUUUCUUCUAAAGCUAAAUACUGGCCAGAGACCGAUAGCGCACAAGUAGAGUGAUCGAAAGAUGAAAAGCACUUUGGAAAGAGAGUCAAAUAGCACGUGAAAUUGUUGAAAGGGAAGCGCUUGCAGCCAGACUUGCCUGUAGUUGCUCAUCUGGGCUUUUGCCCGGUGCAUUCUUCUGCAGGCAGGCCAGCAUCAGUUUGGGCGGUUGGAUAAAGGUCUCUGUCAUGUACCUCUCUUCGGGGAGGCCUUAUAGGGGAGACGUCAUGCAACCAGCCUGGACUGAGGUCCGCGCAUUUGCUAGGAUGCUGGCGUAAUGGCUGUAAGCGGCCCGUCUUGAAACACGGACCAAGGAGUCUAACAUCUAUGCGAGUGUUUGGGUGUCAAGCCCGAGCGCGUAAUGAAAGUGAACGGAGGUGGGAACCCUUUUGGGGUGCACCAUCGACCGAUCCUGAUGUCUUCGGAAGGAUUUGAGUAAGAGCAUGGCUGUUGGGACCCGAAAGAUGGUGAACUAUGCUUGAAUAGGGUGAAGCCAGAGGAAACUCUGGUGGAGGCUCGCAGCGGUUCUGACGUGCAAAUCGAUCGUCAAAUUUGGGCAUAGGGGCGAAAGACUAAUCGAACUAUCUAGUAGCUGGUUCCUG